AGUCUCUUCUUGCAAGGCCUUUCGCCCCUGGUCUAUGUGCGCCUAGUCCAUGUUGCCUUUCUUUUCCAACACCACCUCCAAGUCCGUGUCUGUUUCCUCCUUUCAAGGGUCUCCUGCUACCCCACUCUCUUUCCUUUUCUUUUUCUUCCUUUGCAGAGCCGGCUCCUCAAUGACUGGCUGCUUUACCUUCUUCUUGGACUUCAUCUUUUUCUUCGCGGGGGUUUUAGGGCCAUCUCCUAUGGGGAUGUAUUCCGGAGCCUCCACUUUGACUGGCUUCUUUUUACUUCGUUUCCUAGGGCAGCUCUCCAUGGACCUGGAGGGCUUGGAGUGGCUUGGGAGGGCGUCUCCCUCCUGGUGGAUUUUUUUUUCUUCUUCGCCUUCCCACCGUGUUCCCUGGGGCUCUUGUGCUUCCGCUUCUGCCCCAAGGCUACCUGUUCCUCACCCUCCUUCCCCACUGAGCAAGUGUCCACAGCAUCCCCGACCUCGCAGAACCAAGGGUCCUGGACUGAGAAAGCUGUGGGGUCCUGGGCCCCCUUUUUUUCCUUCUUAAGUUUUUUAAGCUUCUUGCCAACUCUGGUUUCCUCCUCACCCUGUCUGGGGUCUGGGGAGAUUUUCACCCCAGAGGCAUGGGAGAUGGCCAGAGAUGACUUCCUUUUCUUCUGCCCACUGAGGAACUCCAAAUGGCCAAGCACCUGGUUCCUUGGGCUGGAUGACUUCUCUGUCCGUCUGGCACGCAGCGUGGUCUCAGGUUCUACGUGCCCCUCGCAAAGGGUGCUGACACCCUUCUCUUUCUUCUUUUUCUUCACUAGAGGCAUCUCAGGUGCCUGCCCGUGGACCACACUCUUAGAGGGGGCUGUGGCUUUUAUAGGAGAAACAUGGGCAAAGUAAUCAUCAUUGUUUAAAAUUGAGUAUUGAGUCCCUGGUUCUUUGACCACUUUCUUCUUCUUUUUCUUCUCUGGGAUCCCAGGGCCCAGGUCUACUUUCCGGUGGGCCAAACUUCCCCGCCUCCACGUGAGAGCCGGCUCCGCCGUGACCCGGAAGUCCACUUUCGGGUUGCACGCGUGGCUUCUCUUACACACAAAUUUUCUUCCACUUCUGCCACUCCUGAGACAGCAAGACUGAUACCUUAUUUUCCUCCUCCUCCUUGGCCUACUCAACAUGAAGAUGAUGAGGAUGACGACCUUUACGAUGAUCCACUUCCAUCUAAUGAUUGAGGCAGUGUCUCACUCUGUUGUCCAGGCUGGAGUGCAGCGAUAUGGUCAUAGCUCACUGCAGCCUCGAACUCCUGGGCUCAAGGGAUCCUGCCACCUCAGCUAAGGCCUGCAGUAGCUAAGACUAUAAUCCCUUAAAUAUUUUAGAAGAGAAGGAGCAAGAGAAGAAGAUCUCAAAAUACUUUUUCAACACUGGCUGGUUUUGAGAAGCUCACUUUCAAAAUUUGAUAUGGACAUUGCAUUUGACGAGACAGUAGAGAUGGGAUUUCACUGUGUUGGCCAAACUGGUCUCGAACUCCUGACCUCGGGAUCCACCCGCCUCAGCCUCCCAAAGUGCUGGGAUUACAGCCAUGAGCGACCGCGCCCAGCCGUCACAGGAUUUCAUACUUAUUAAGAUCCCUCUUUCUUCUUUAGGAUUCCCAAGUAACUUGUCUCUGCUAUUUUUAAUGUAUAUGACCGAAUAAAUUCAAAAUGAGCCUUAUGAAAAUAGGCUAAGGUC
Homo sapiens (human) is the source of this 1710-nucleotide long non-coding RNA. Ensembl annotates it as long intergenic non-protein coding RNA 477. The record is from Ensembl. NCBI's taxonomy places the organism in Eukaryota, Metazoa, Chordata, Mammalia, Primates, Hominidae.